This 1653-nucleotide small RNA is filed under the name Pongo abelii (Sumatran orangutan). RNAcentral's name for it is "processed transcript". The record is from RNAcentral. Lineage: Eukaryota; Metazoa; Chordata; Mammalia; Primates; Hominidae.
GUAGCACUGGAGGUCCAGUAGGCUUUGCCGGGGCCCUGAGGGGCGAGGGUGCCUGGGCUUCCCGUACCUUCCGCGGCGACUGGAGGGAGCCGGGCCGAGGAAGCGACCGCGGGUCCGUGAUGGCUUCUUCGCGGUCUGUGUGUUCACGAGGGCCGGGAAGAGGCCUGCGAAGGUUCUCGUUUGCGCUUGCGGGUUAGGGCUGUGGUCCGGGGAACCCCUGCGCAGCGCGGGCAGCACUGGUUCGCGGUUAAUCGGGGGAUGAGCGCGGAAGCCCCGCCGCAGGUCCAGCUGCUCGGCCGGGGCGAGACGGUGUUUUCGCGGCGUGUGCUUGGAGGAGCGCACAGUUCAGGCGCCGGGACAAGCUGUUGGGGUGUGAGUGAGCUCUCCAGAAUGGCACGUGGCUCCGGGGUGCCCGUGUUAAAAGGCAGGAUUUGCACACCUUCCACUUAGAGCUCGGGUAAUCGCAAACUUCCUCUCUUAAUUGGCUUGCAGUGCUAAAAAGCAGAUCCUUCUCUCUCAGGUUUUCCCAACACUACCUCAAGAAAAAAACAUCUGUUUUUUAAAACGUUCCACGGUAUUCGGAAUUGGCUACAGAACAUAAUAAAUAUUUCUACCCAUGGCAAAUUCCACUACACUGUCAAGGCUGAGAAUGGGAAGCUUGUCAUCAAUGGAAAUCCCAUCACCAUCUUCCAGGAGCAAGAUCCCACCAAAAUCAAAUGGGGUGAUGCUGAAGCUGAGUACGCCGUGGAGUCCACUGGCAUCUUCACGACCAUGGAGAAGGCUGGGGCUCACUUAACAGGGGGGAGCCAAAACGGUCAUCAUCUCUACCCCCUCUGCUGAUGCCCCCAUAUUCAUAAUGGGCAUGAUCCAUGAGAAGUAUGAAAACAGCCUCAAGAUCAUCAGCAAUGCCUCCUGUACCACCAACUGCUUAAUCCCCCUGGCCAAGCCCAUCCAUAACAACUUUGGCAUUGUGGAAGGACUUGUGACCACAAUCCAUGCCGUCACUCCUACCCAGAAGACUGUGGAUGGCCUCUGUGGGAAAUCGUGGCAUGAUGUCUGUGGGGCUCUCCAGAACAUCAUCCCUGCAUCUACUGGUGUCGCCAAGGCUGUGGGCAAGGCCAUCCCCAAGCUGAACAGGAAGCUCACUGGCAUGGCCUUCCAUGUCCCUUCUGCAGACGUGUUGGUUGUGGACCUGACCUGCCAUCUGGAGAAACAUGCCAAAUAUGAUGACAUCAAAAAGGCGGGAAGCAGGCGUCGGAGGGCCCCUCAAGGGCAUCUUGGGCUACACUGAACACCAGGUUGUUUCCUCUGACUUUAACAGUGAUACUCACUCUUCCACUUUCGAUGCUGGGGCUGGCGUUGCCCUCAGUGACCACUUUGUCAGGCUCAUUUUCUCGUAUAACAACGAGUUUGGCAACAGCAACAGGGUGGUGGCCCAUAGGGCCUCCAAGGAGUAAGACUGCUCGACAACCAACCCCAGUGAGAGCACAAGAGGAAGAAAGAGACCUUCAGCUUCUGGGCAGUCCCUGCCAUGCUCAGUCCUCCACCACACUGGGAAUCUCCCCACCUCACAAUUUCCAUGCAGACCCCACAAAGAGCGCUACCUUGUCGUGUACCAUCAAUAAAGUCCCCUGUACUCAAAAAAAAAAAAAA